This is a long non-coding RNA of Micropterus dolomieu (smallmouth bass), 987 nucleotides long. RefSeq lists it as uncharacterized. Lineage: Eukaryota; Metazoa; Chordata; Actinopteri; Centrarchiformes; Centrarchidae. The transcript has 4 exons. The record is from RefSeq and is a predicted model, not a curated record.
CUGUUAGCUGUGCAGAGCGCCCAGAUUAACCUGUGACACAGCUUCGUACCAUCGAUCACCUUUAUAUUCCGCUAUCUUUGCCGUCGUUACCAAUAUUGGCUUGCCUGUCAACAUUUGUAUCAUGUGUCGUUAUUUAUCAGACGUUGAGUUAACCUGAGAACAGUUUGUCAUCCAGCCUGUAAGUGAAACAGUCUGGAUGUCUAGGCUGAGUUACACUCCGCCCGAACACAGCGUGGAGUCAGCUGUGGCCAGGCAAAUGCUGGUAAUAUUGGUAACGACGGCAAAGAUAGCGGAAUAUAAAGGUGAUCGAUGGUACGAAGCUGUGUCACAGGUUAAUCUGGGCGCUCUGCACAGCUAACAGCGUCUCCACUCUGCGCUCCAUCUGAGCGUCAAACAUCUCAGCCUGUUUCCUUAUGAGGAAUUGGCAGGCUACAGGAAUAACACAGAAAGGCAGCCCUACAUGCAAACACGGUCAACACACGUGGCUGCAAUUGGACCGGUGCAAUUGGUGCAGUCUGGAAUGCACACAGGAUCCAAGGCAAGGGUAUCCCCAAUCAACUGGCUUUAGGUGGAUGGCCAAAAAAACUGCCUUGAGAUCGUUUGCCAGAGGCUGCAGACUGCUAUGGCCAGUGUGCCACUAUUUGGCCGAAACCCAUUUUCCACAGUGGAUCACCAGGCAACAGCUGAACAAGGAUUUGCACGGCACAAUUCAAACAUUUCAAAACUCUUUGACAGUGCCGUUAACCAUGAACCAAGGCCUUUUCAAAACUGAAUUAAGGAACUUAUAGACAUCGUAAGAAGCCAUGUUUAGAGAGCAGUAUGUGCAUAGUGUAAUAAGUUAAGACCUGCACCUCAUCAACAAGCAUCUCAAGUUCAGUUUCUGUACAAUUCUUUUUGUUGGUUUCUUGCUCGGGUUUUUGAUGUGAUUCUCUAUAACACACAUUUAAACCUAUUUUCUUACUUUUGAAUAAAUGUCUGUCAACUGGA